RNAcentral lists this ribosomal RNA (474 nucleotides) under Theileria sinensis. RNAcentral describes it as "SSU rRNA". It matches the Rfam family "Eukaryotic small subunit ribosomal RNA", at positions 527 to 1040 of the family's 1831-position model. Lineage: Eukaryota; Apicomplexa; Aconoidasida; Piroplasmida; Theileriidae. The record is from RNAcentral.
AUAGAUCCUUUCAAAAUUCAUUGGAGGGCAGUCUGGUGCCAGCAGCCGCGGUAAUUCCAGCUCCAAUAGCGUAUAUUAAAAUUGUUGCAGUUAAAAAGCUCGUAGUUGAAUUUCUGCUGCAUCGUCGCAUCUCUUGCUGAGUGCUUCGUUUCGGCUUAUUUCGGAUUGAUUUUUUCUUUCCGGAUGAUUACUUUGAGAAAAUUAGAGUGCUCAAAGCAGGCUUUUGCCUUGAAUAGUUUAGCAUGGAAUAAUAAAGUAGGACUUUGGUUCUAUUUUGUUGGUUUUAGGUACCAAAGUAAUGGUUAAUAGGAACAGUUGGGGGCAUUCGUAUUUAACUGUCAGAGGUGAAAUUCUUAGAUUUGUUAAAGACGAACUACUGCGAAAGCAUUUGCCAAGGAUGUUUUCAUUAAUCAAGAACGAAAGUUAGGGGAUCGAAGACGAUCAGAUACCGUCGUAGUCCUAACCAUAAACUAA